RNAcentral lists this ribosomal RNA (903 nucleotides) under Corynactis californica. Its description in RNAcentral is "partial 16S ribosomal RNA". It matches the Rfam family "Bacterial large subunit ribosomal RNA", at positions 1833 to 2595 of the family's 2925-position model. The record is from RNAcentral. Lineage: Eukaryota; Metazoa; Cnidaria; Anthozoa; Corallimorpharia; Corallimorphidae.
GAAAGUAGAAGUAUGGGGGGUGAGACCUGCCCAAUGGUUGUAUCUAAAAGGGUCGGUUGGGCCGACUUUAUAAAGACAAUUGAAUGGCUGCGGUAACACUGACCGUGAAAAUGUAGCGUAAUCAAUAGUCAAUUAAUUGUUGGCCGGUAUGAAUGGUGCCACGAGGGUCUCACUGUCUUAAGAAAAUCCCCAGUGAAAUUGAAUUUGUAGUGAAGAUGCUACAUAAAAAUUGUUGGACGAGAAGUCCCCAUGAAACUUUACUGGAGACUUAUGUGGCUUGUGCUGACUGAUCGAACUAGGCUCAAUCAGUGAAAGCAUCUAACAAAUAAAUAGCUUAGACUAUGUGGUGUUAACCGUUUUAUUUAAAACUUUUGGGAGUAGUGUUUAGAGUAGUCUUCAGACUAAAGUAAAAAACACAUGUAUUUUUUACAGACCCGCCUCUUUCAAAAUUUAGGUUAGUCAAACUCAUCUUUUAUUUUAAGAAAGCUAACUCUUCUUUUGAAUUAAGUUCGAUUGGUGGGGGGUACCCCACCACAUUUUAGGAGUGGUGAAUUUCUGGGUUAGAGAAAUGGGGUAAGUUAGACAGUUUGGUUGGGGCGAUCGCCUUUUAAAAAGUAACGAAGGUGAGCGUAAGAUACAUAUUUAAUAGCUGUCGUCUGACUGUGAAGGGGGGGCCCUGAGCAGACACUAAAAACCGCCUUGUGCGGGGAAUAGUGGGUUGCAGUGACCCGUUGAUUUAAGGUGAAAUAGUUAACGAUAAACAAAUAAAAGUUACUCUGGGGAUAACAGCGCAAUAACGUUAGAGGGUUUUUCUUGAUGACGAUGUUUGCGACCUCGAUGUUGAAUUGCGGCAUCCUGGGGUGCAGUCGCCCCCAAGGGUGGGUCUGUUCGUCCCUUAAAGCC